AAAUAGACAGAUUAGCAGAGCUCAAAAUUAGUUUAACUGAUAUAAACACCCAGCAUUGCUCAACUACUCAUUAACUUCAUGAGUGUGAACUGUGAUCACAGUUGAAAAUAAAUUAUAUCUGGAAAGCUGACAACUUCAUGAAAACUUUCCUAAACUGAGUAAUGUGUUGAAAUUUACUACGGCAUUUAAUUGCUUUAAUAUUUCAGGUACUGUGCCCUCUGACAGCUGUUUCUAAUUGAAUGAAUGACCCUUGUGAUACAGAUUUGGUAUUAUCAAGACUCAAGUCUUUCAAAUGCCCAAUUUGCUAUUAAUUUGGAGCAAUAAUCAAACCUACAGUAGAUGUAGGAGUUGGGGCAGUAUAGAAGUGGAAAGAAGGUUCAUUGCAAUUAGAUCCUUGCGUAGGUGACAUGCACGGAGAGAGUUAAAUGCAGUGACCGUGUGAAUCUUACUGAAAAUGUUCAAGACCUAGAGAAGAUCUGCAUGAUAUAAACCUUGAUAGAGGAGCCUUCUACAAAUUUGCUGGUCUUCCAUCUGAAUUACCUUACAGUGCGGGGAGUAGAUAAGAUGUUAUAUGACCUGAUAGUGGAUUGACUGCGAAUUGUCAAAAGUUUCUUUGUUUCUGCAGCUGGGAUGAACUGGGUGUUGUACAUUCAUAGAAUAGUAACCACAUGGAGAGAGAGCAUCUGGACCAUUGAGUCAAAAAUAAGAAACAAAAAACUCCUUGUCCCACCCUCUCCAAUAGUCCUACACAUACUUCCCCUUCAGACGAUCAUCCUGAUCAUUUAAAUUAUUCAAACAAAUCUACCUAACUAAAUGUUCAUGCCGAGAUAGCCAAGCUUUUUGUCACCUAGUUACUCACUCUUCCACAAGGGAGAACCUUGUUUUUCAAUAUUUUCUCUGUAUAGAUCUUCUGUGACACUAAAUCCAUCUUUCAGAUCCCCACAUCUUCCUGAGUCAAUUUCAGCAUCUUCAGAUAAUCAACACAGAAUACAGACAAAGUCCCUCAAGCAGGAAAAUGCAGAAGACCCAUUCAGCGGUUGAUCAGAUUACCAACUUAUGAGCAAUCUAUAUACUUCACCCUCUACCACACCAGUUUUUCUGCUCUUCUGUCAAUAUAUUUGCUACCUGGGAAUCAACAAUUAGAUUGUCUUCCAGUCUAUCCCCCAGCCUAGCUCAUUUUGGCAAUUUAACCCAGAAUAAAUCUUCUUGUAAUUUUACUCAUUUUGGAUAUAACCAGAUUUACCAGCUACACCAAGCACAAACUUCCUAAAAGUCCAUAAAAUAUAUGGCCUAAUUCUGGUCUUCCAGCUCAUCAAAUCUGCACCAUCAUGGCUGGUUUAUUAUUCCUCUCAACCCCAUUCUCCUGUCUGCUUCCUAUAACCCGUGACACCCUUAUCUAUCAACCAUCGAUGAAAAUAUACCCAAGAACUUUGCCUCUACAGCCACCUGUGGGAAUGAAUUUCACAGAUUCAACACCCUCUGGCUAAAGAAAUUCCUCCUUAUCUCUAUUCUAAAGGGACACUCUUCUAUUCUAAGGCUGGUCCUAGACUUUCCCAACAUAGGAAGCAUCACCUCACUAUGUCCACUCCCACUUCCCCCACUCUCUGAGGCCAAUGUCUCCAGUUCCAGCAACAUAUCUGCCUUUAAUAUUACAUUUUUUGCAAGUUUUCAUUGUCUCUGCCACAAACUUCAGCAAGUUUUCACUUCUAACUCUUCUAUCUUGGUUGUUCAAAAUUUUAUUAGUAACACCUGGACCCUCAGACAGCUGGAACGCUCUUUAAACACCUCUGACUCCAUACACAUGUAUGCCCCAAGUAAGAUUUCUACUGCUAUGCUGCGAAAUAUUUUUAUUUUAGCAGUUUCUGCAAAAGCAGUGUAUCCUGCUAUUAACAGUGUUUUGGCUUCGGCUAAAGACAAGGAGCCAUGUUGCCCAACUUUGGAAUAUUGUGUCAGUUAAUCAGGUCUGUCUGGAUACGCGUUGCCCAGUGGGAUUCAAGAGAAGAUUCCAGAGAGCUAGAUGGGACGAUAUUUCUGGAGGGCAGUAGUCUGGUUUGGGGUCUAUUGGCAGGUGGUGUGGAGAAAAGAGCACCAGAGAAGACGACCAGAGGAUCCCAUCCAAAGAGGAGACCCUAAUGCAAAGAGUGCUUUGCAAAACAAAGGAUUCCAAGAUGGAAAGUUCUAUCUGUGGCUGGUGAUGGGAAUUCAGUGCUAUGAGUAAAGUGAUACACCCAGCUACUACAGAAAUGAGCUCCAAAGCUUUGUGCACAUUUAGACUGGUUAACUGUAAUGAGCCCUUUUAUAUUUUUUCUUUCUUUUCCUAUUAAUUGUUUGAUAAAGUUGAGAAUUGGAAAAGAUACCAUUUUUGUAAUUUUAUACUGGUGUACAAUCUGUCAUCCCUUGGCAACUGAUAAUUGUGUAUGGUUUUAUGCGGCAUUUACUACACUCAACGUUCCUUAAUUGGAACAUCCCUACUUUCCGGUUUGGUUGAACCCCAAAUCAUACCGAUCCUAGAUAUAUUUUGCUUAUGUAAGAUUGCCUUCUCACCACUGAAUUACGCGGCUGUUAGCACAGUUAGCUAACAAGCCAAGAUGGGGUACAAGCCCCAGUGAGAGUGCUGCACAUAAUAAUAUAUUUUGUCAUUUUAUCAGGACAUGGUGAGGUUACUUGCUGUACUGUGUAAGCAUACAGCAUAUGUGUGAAAAAGACAAGGCAUACACUAUAGGUUGUAAGUGACAGUCAUUGUUAAAUUGAAUCUACAAAAAAGCCAGGAUUACAUUAAAGAGUUUCAUCUUUGAAAGUUUUGGAUGCAUUUCAAUGAUCAUGCAAUUUUGGUGUAUUUUCAUAUCUUAGCAUAACACUCACAAUUAACAAAGUAAUUUGGAUUAAAUAUAUUUAAAGUUGCACACGAGAAGUUGGAGGUUCAAUUGCUUCAAUAAAAGAUCAUUUAUUUAUGCCAAACAUACAGUGCAUACCCUUAAUCAUUCUUUCAGUUCUCAUGUACAGAUUGUGCUGCUCUUUAGUGAAUAUGAUAACAUUACUGACGAGCCAACAUCGAGGAUGCAGAGAUCUUGCAGCGCACUCUGCCAUAAGGCUUCCCAGAAUCCCAGUUCCCACCAACUUUCAUUGCUAGGCAAAGGUACUUUAAAACUAUUUUCAAAUAUUUAUUUUGUUUUCUUUUAAGUAACUAAAUUCUCUUUAAGAAUUAUUUGUUUUAAUUUUAAUGGCUUUUCAGACUCAAUGCUAGCAACAUCUUAAGAUUACUAGAAUCAGCAAUCCAACUCUGUCAGGGACAUUUGGGGAGGUGGUUCCACGUGCGGCCCAAGGCCUGGCCAUGAUUUAGCUGGAGUCAUUAAGGCAAGCUAUCACCAUCAGUCCCAAGUAAGCAUGAGAUUGAUAACAUCCCAAUAACAUAUCUGGGCAGGGGACCCAGUCCAAAGUGAUUUGUUCUUUAUUUACAGACUGAAUAUAGAACAGUACAGCAAAGUAACACAUGGCCAAUGGUCUACAUUAUCUGUGGUGAGGACCAAAAUUAAACUAAAUCUUUUCUGCCUGUACGUGAUCCACAUUCCUCCAUUCCUUCAUAUUCAUGCGUCUGUCUAACAGCUUCUUAUCAUAUCCCCUUCCACCACUGGCUCUGGCAGCCUGCUACGAGUACUCACCACUCUGGUAAGUAAAACUUUCCCUUCUCACCUGAAAUGUAUUUGGCAUUUCUACUGAGGAAAACUGAUUCUGACUGCCUACCCUAUUGAUUUCUCUUAAUCUUACCAUUUUCUAUCAGUCUUCUCUCUGUUUUUGAUGCUCUAGGGAAAACAACCCUUCUAGUGCGGCCUCGCCUAUGUUUUAUAUAGCUGCACCAUUACUUCCCUGCUCUUACAAUCAAUGUACCGAACAAGGAAGGCAAUCAUGUCAUAUGCCUUUUUUAAAAAGCACUGUCUACUAAUGUAGACACUCUCAUGGAGCUAAGGACUAAGAGUCGAAAACCCCUCUAUACACCUAUGCUAUAUAAAGCCUUGAUAUUAUCAGCAUAAUUUCCGUUUGAACUCCCUAAGACAAACACGAUACACAUCCCAAAUUAAAUUUCUCCUCUAUACAUGCAUUUGUAACUGAUCUAUAUUCUGCUGUAUCCCUUUGACAACCUUCACUGACCACAACAUGAUAUAUUUCACAAACAGAGGUCCUGCACAAACUGAUCCCUGCUCAUCUCCACUGGUCACAGUCCUCCAGCCAUGAUAGCACCCCUGUCCUACUACCCUCUGUCUUCUAAGUAAAAGCUAAUUUCAAAUCCAAAAUAACAAUGGUGCGUGUCCCAUGCAAUUUAUCACAUGGUCAAGUGCCCGACUAAAAUCUGUGUAAACAACAUCCACAUAGUUUUCUAAAUGUGAGUAAAGAACCCUCUCCAAUAGCUUUCCUACCAAUGACAUAAUUUCUUGUAGUACUUCACUUCUCUUCUACAAAAGAUUUGCUACUUUCCAGUCUUCUGGGACUUCACACACAAUAUUUUGUCAAGAUUCUAGCAAACUCGCUUCCAUCUUUCAUUAAACUGCAAUAUAUCCCUUCAGUCCUGGGGACGUAUUCACCUUCAUGCUCUUUAAAAAGACUCAGUACCACCACCUCAUGGUGUCAAAAUGACCUGGUAUAUUUGCAUACCCCGCAAUGCUCUCACUAAUCUUCGUAUCCUCAACUAAAGUGCACAUUUAGCACUUCACCAAUAUCCCUUGAUUCCAGGCAAAAACUCCCUCCAUUAUCCUUGAGUGCUUCUACCUUCUCCCUAGUUAUAUUCUUGUAUUCAACGUGAGCGUAAAAUGCUUUCAGAUUCUUUUUAAUCCCACUUGCCAAGAACAUUUUAUUAGCCCUUUUGGCCUUCUUAAUCCCUUGCUUGAUAGCUUUCCUGUUUCCUCAAGGCACCUGUCUGAUUUUAGCUUCCUAAAGCUUAGAUAAGUUUUCUUUUACUUUUUGACUAAAUUCAUAAUCUCUUAUCAUCCAAUGACCUCUUAGCUUUCUAACUUGUCUGUCUUUAUUGGACCAUGUCCAUCCUGAGCUCUGAUCAGCUGGUCCUUAAACAUCUCCCACAUGUCACAUGUAAACAUACUCAAAAACAGUUCUUCACAACUAACUCUCCCAUCUCCUGUCUAAUAGUUUUUUUUCAUCCCCAAAUUUAGUAAUUUAUUUGUUUUACACUUAUCCUUAUUCAUAACUACCUUAAAAUUGAAUUGUUAUUACUAUUCCCAAAAUGCUUUCCCACUAAAAGGCCAGUAACAUGGUAAUGCUCAUUCUCUAAAACAAGGUCCAAUACGGUACCACUUCUAGAUGGACUAUCCUUGUACACUGUUUAAAACAGCCCUCUUAGAUGCACCUACAAAUUUUCCCCCAUCUGAGUCCCUUGCACUAAGGACUCCCAGUCAAUAUUGGGCAAGUUAAAAUCAUCUACCACGACACCGCUGCUGCAUUUACAUCUUUCCAUAAGAUGUCAAUAUAUACUCAGUGACCACUAUAUUAGGUACACCUGCCCAUUAAUGAAAAUAUCUAAUUAGACAAUCAUUUGGCAGCAACUCAAUGCAAAACCACAUGCAGACAUGGUCAAGAGGUUCAGUUGUUGUUCAGAACAAACAUCAGAAUGGAGAAGAAAUGUGAUCUAAUUUACUUUGACCGUGGAAUGAUUGCUGGUGCCAGAUGGGGAGGUUUAGGUAUCUCAGUAAAUGCUGAACUCCUGGAGUGUUCAUGCACGAAAGUCUCAAGAGUUUAUGAAGAAUGGUGCGAAAAACAGAAAAAAAAUCCAGUGAGCAACUGUUAUUGUGAGUGAAAAUGCCGUGUUAAUGAUAGAGGUCAGAGGAGAAUGGUUCAGCUAACAGGAAGACAACAGUAACUCAAAUAACCAUACAUUAUAACUGGUGUGUGGAAGAACAUCUCUGAAUACACAAUAUAUUGAACCUUGAAAUGGAUGGACGAUAGCAGAAGACCACAGCGGGCUUCACUUCUGUACCUGAUACAGAGUGUAGUUCUUCAUAUCACAUUGAUUCCAGGAAUGGCAAAUGUAAUGAACCAAUGGUUUUCAGUACUUUUGGAAUGAGAGACUUGCUGGAGAGUUAAAACAAUGCACAAAUCAUCCAAGAUUUUGGUAAGACAAGGCAAUGUGACCUUGAAAACCAUCUCUUUAGCAUCAUGGGCAAUUUCAAUACAUUCAAGCAUAUAACUGAUGGGCAUUAGGGAAUCCAGGUAAUUAAGGAAUAUGGGAAAGUAUUGGUAAGUGGAGUUGAUGUAGAAAGUUGGGCUUUGUUAUUAAACUGAAGGAUGGUCUCAUGGCUGAAUGUUUGCAUUUCUUAACUUUUACACAAUAUGCAAUAUUAAAGCAGGACAUUCAUGCUCAGCAUCCAAUCUUCAUUCUCCAUUACCCAAUUUCCCUGAUAAUCUCAACUUCCUAUCCUAUGUUUACCCUUUCAGCUACACCAUACAGAUGUCAAGGUUCUCUAAUAUGGAGUGCACAUUUUCCCAUCUUAGCUUACCUCGCAGCACAAAUACCUAAGACCAGUGGACAUAUAUUGAAGGUGAAGAGCAGUUGGUUUGGAGGGGAUCUUGAGGAGAUAUUUUUCACUCCAACAGACAUUGUAGUCUGAGACAUAACACCUAACAAAGUAGUGAAUCAGGUAAUCUCACAGUAUUUUUGGAGAAUCUAGAUGAGUUGUUCAAAUUUCAAACAUACAGUAUGCCAUGGAUCACCUGCUGAUAAAUAAGAUUAGUACAAACAGAUCGAUGUUUGACAUGGGCUCAGUGGGUCACAGGCAUGAUUCUGCAAUGGAUGAUCUGUGACUCAGACACAAAUAUUCUAAUUAAGCUAUAGGCAUACCACCAACUAUUUGUUUAAAAUCUCUACUUAACAUGCCUCAUUGAAAUCUACAUAUUUUAACCCUUCACCAAUGUUUUUAUCCUCAAGGCAAAUGGGUGCCCAGGAAGGUAUUCACACUAGGGUCAGUGUUGGACAGCUUCUCUUCAACAACUGACAACCAUUGAAAAUUCUCUGUUUUUUUUCCACUAAUGUGAUAUUUGUCUUGCAAAACUGAACCUAUCUGUGGCUGAAUCAGUCACACCAUAUGCUACUGUCCAAUGAGAUCACAUCAUCUCUGCUAAAAUUUAAAAUAGCCUUUGUAAGCUUUUGUUUUCAUUUAGAUUGGAGAGUAAUGGCACAUUCCACCCAUCAAACCCAAUGAUGACACAUUUCCUGCCUACUUCCCUUCACAGGAUUCUCCCUUGAGAACACUAUCAAUUCACAUGACAUAGGACACCCCAUCACUGUUGCUGGUUUAUUAUUGUGUCUGGUUUGCUCACUACCACUGUUCUACUUUGGGUGUCAGUGUUUGGUUUUCUUCCCUUCCCUGCUCGGUUGCCUCCUGCUUCCUGGUUCUCUCUGUUCCUCAAGAAGCCUCUGUCCUCAGUCACUGUUUUUUACUUACAAAAGCAAAAAAUGAAAGCUAGUUGUUGGUUCCCGUUUCUUUCACUUGUGACUGUUCUUCACUGUAUAUGCUAACCUUCCUUCCCUGGCCCAUUUCCCACUUCCUCUUCCUUUGUAAGCCUUGAGAGCUUCAAUGUUUGGUUGGAUUUACAGUAAUAGCUAACUCAUCAUGAGCCUACGAUGAGAAGGUUCCACUUAUUUUUUUAUGUAUUUGAACAGUAUGUCUUCCUUUGCACAUUAGUGGUUUGUUAGACUUUGUGCGUAGUUUUUCCAUUUAUAUUAUAUUUCUUUGUUCUACAGUGAAUGCCUGCUAGAAAAUGAAUCUCAAGAAUUCCUUUGAAGACCCUGACCUGAAGUUACACGCUGACUUUGGUUCUUUGCAGUAAUGGGACCCACUCUCAGGGUUUCACGACUGGCUGUUAUUCGACAUGCCAAGGAUGUGACUUAGGAGAUUUGCUCGCCUUUGGAGUUCCAGGAUCUCAAGGCUCUGGAGACAGGUGGACUGAAGGUCGGUGCUUCUGCAGGAAUUCGGUGUGUCAUGGGAGACAGAAGAUCGAAAGCAGCAAAAUGGCUGGAUGGCGAGAGACCUGAGUUGUUUGGGCACAGAGCUCAGAGAAGCAACACAAUGGACUUUUAACAUCAUAAAUCAGCAAGUUGUUUGUUAUGUCUUCCCUCUCGGGGAGGGAGACAGAGGGAGACGGGGAGGGGGGGGGGAGAGAGAGAGAGAGAGAGAGAGAGAGAGAGAGAGAGACACAAUGGUAAGUGGAAUACCGGGUGAACGAGUAGUCUUUGGGAUACUGCAGGUCUGUGUCUUUGCUGCACGCUUGAGUGGUCAGUCUUGGGUGCCCAUGCUCUUUUUAUUUGCUGGUGGAGGGAGGGGGGAUCAUUGCUUUGC
Molecule: long non-coding RNA, 8339 nt
Organism: Hypanus sabinus (Atlantic stingray)
Lineage: Eukaryota; Metazoa; Chordata; Chondrichthyes; Myliobatiformes; Dasyatidae
Exons: 3
Source: RefSeq, a predicted model, not a curated record